This 704-nucleotide long non-coding RNA is filed under the name Homo sapiens (human). RNAcentral describes it as "non-protein coding lnc-ZNF674-14:2". The record is from RNAcentral. Lineage: Eukaryota; Metazoa; Chordata; Mammalia; Primates; Hominidae.
AAUGGCCAAGAUGGCGGCUUCCAGGGACCCCGUGUUUCUGAUAGUGUUCGGCUUGAGGACAAAAGCGUGUGACCAUUUUCCGUGGCGAGUGGUACAAAAGGCCCAGGGCGUCAUCCCUUGCCGGCGAGAGGCGAGCGGACUUUCCAGCGGCCUAGCUCCCGCCCGCAGGGAGGCCGAAGUCCCCCUUGUCCCCCUUCUCCCAUUUCGUCCUCCUGCAUCGCGACCCUCCCAGUCGCUGCGGCAUUGGGUGUUUGUGUCCCUCCGUCCUGAAAGCCAUUGUUCCCGCUUUUUUACCCUCCUGGGAAUAGGAAAAAGAGUCGCGCCUCCGGCGCCAAUAGCGCUCGGAGGCGUGGCCAUCUAGGGUCCAGGCUGGUCUCAGGGAACCCGACCCUGGGCCUGGCUCUCAGAGAGUCAUGGGAGCAAGGGGUCUGGCUCAGCCGGGGAAGUGGCCUGGAGGAUGGGCUUUUGAGCUGGGCUGCAGAGCCAGCGAUCUCUUGAAAUGAGGAAAGAAACCCUCAUUCUGAUUUUUCUCUACGCAAUAGAGGGGCUCCAAUUCCUGAGAUCCUAGACACCCUGGGAGAAUCUGGAUUUUACUUUUUUGAAAACGCACUGUAAAUAGCAAAGAGGUGUUUUCUGUGAGAUUGCCAGCCAGUGGCAACAUGGUCCCCUAAAAAGGCCUGUAAUGGCCUUGAGGAAAGUUUUCU